This 82-nucleotide transfer RNA is filed under the name Caudoviricetes sp. RNAcentral's name for it is "tRNA-Tyr". It matches the Rfam family "tRNA". From Rfam's summary of the family: Transfer RNA (tRNA) molecules are approximately 80 nucleotides in length. Their secondary structure includes four short double-helical elements and three loops (D, anti-codon, and T loops). The record is from RNAcentral. Lineage: Duplodnaviria; Heunggongvirae; Uroviricota; Caudoviricetes.
GGGUAGGUAGCCUAGAGGCGAGGGCAUCUGACUGUAAAUCAGAUACAAAGAAACAUCGUUGGUUCGAGUCCAACCCUGCCCA